RNAcentral lists this ribosomal RNA (254 nucleotides) under uncultured bacterium. RNAcentral's name for it is "partial 16S ribosomal RNA". It matches the Rfam family "Bacterial small subunit ribosomal RNA", at positions 524 to 776 of the family's 1533-position model. The record is from RNAcentral.
UACAGAGGUCUCAAGCGUUGUUCGGAUUCAUUGGGCGUAAAGGGUGCGUAGGCGGCGCGGUAAGUCGGGUGUGAAAUCUCGGAGCUUAACUCCGAAACUGCAUUCGAUACUGCCGUGACUAGAGGUCGGUAGGGGAGUGUGGAAUUCCUGGUGGAGCGGUGAAAUGCGCAGAUAUCAGGAGGAACACCCGUAGCGAAGGCGGCACUCUGGGCCGAUACUGACACUGAGGAGCGAAAGCGUGGGGAGCGAACAGG